This is a long non-coding RNA of Macadamia integrifolia, 1391 nucleotides long. RefSeq lists it as uncharacterized. The record is from RefSeq and is a predicted model, not a curated record. The transcript has 2 exons. NCBI's taxonomy places the organism in Eukaryota, Viridiplantae, Streptophyta, Magnoliopsida, Proteales, Proteaceae.
CGGAGAGGAAGAAGAACGGGAAAGAAAGGAGUUGCAAUACAUACACACUACAUUUAAUCAUUGUCAUAGCCGCGACCUUAGUUGGGAGAGUAAACCGUUAGCAGCAGAAGGUCGCAACUCAUUUGAGUAGAUCUGGCGACUCCGGCGAGGUGAGUUCGGCAGCAGCAACCGAAGCUUGAAGGUUCUUCUUGCAAAUCUUCGAAGGCUUGUAGCUUGAAGCCUUAGCAGCGACCAAAGCUUGAAGCGCUAGCAGCAAAUCUUCAAAGGCUUGUAGCUUGAAGCCCUAGCAACAACCGAAGCUUAAAGCCCUAGCAACAAAUCUUCGAAGGCUUGUAGCUUGAAGCCCUAGUAGCAACCGAAGCUUGAAGGCUCUAGCAGAAGCCCUAAUAGCAAUUGGAGUGACCCCCAUUUCCCGUCUGUAAGCCAAGAACCAAAGGUAAGUGUUGUGUAAGCGUCAACAUUUCUUAGAGUUCAACCUUAAGGGAUGCAACCUAGAGGACCAACCCCAUUGAAGACAAUAUUAUGUGUUCCCACUUGAUGGAGUAUGGAUUUUGCUGCUCUAGUCUUCUGAAAAUAAGCUAAUGCAAGCCGCUGCUUUGGUCUUCUUAGAGAAUGGACUCUAAUUUUAUUCUGGAUUCUGCUUCUGGUCUUCUCAAAAUAAGUUAUUUGAUCAUCAAAAGAUAGGGCAGCUAUGCCUCUGGACUCAUACCCUUGAAGGUCCUUUGAAAGGGGCAUUUAAUCAAAAGGCCAGCUAUGUUUGGGAGCUUGUAGCAUUUAUCCAUGCUGCCUUAAGAACAGGAGAGCUCUGUUCUCCAUUGAUUUGAGUCCAUAAGCUUGAAUCUUUAUUGUUGUGUAGUAUUCUAGUUUUAACUCUUCUCAUAUGUAUAGCGUUGAUUUCGAUAUCUAUUUUUUUUACAGACAUACCAUGUCAUUUAGUAGUGAGAAUGACUCCUCCAACUCCAAAUGUCCAUUAAAUUAUCGGAAUGUAAGAUGUGGAUGUAAUAGGAAGGCAUCAGUGAGGAUUUCUGAGCCUAUCCGGAAUAUGAAUAAGCUCUACUACUGCUGUCCAGAGUUUCCAAGAGGAGGAUGUGGUUUUUUUUUUCAUGGUGUUUACCAGUGAAAGGAAUUCCUGAAACUACUACACAUGAAACCACAAUAUGUGAAAGACUUAUACAAAUGAAAGAACAUAUGAAGGAUGAACUAUAGAAAUUGACUGAAGAAAUCCGCACUUUGAAGAAUAGCGUGAAUGUGAUGGGUCAGGUUAUAAUGGUUAUUGGUGUUAUCUUUUUAAUGUAUUUGACUGGAUAAAGCUUGCUAGAACUUAUGAAGGACAUAUCAAGUUGUAAGUUGUAAUAUGAAUGAAAAUGUGGUUGAUAUGAAAUUGUUUUUUC